UACGUAGGCGGAAGAUUAAGUCAGUGGUGAAAUCCUGCAGCUUAACUGUAGAACUGUCAUUGAUACUGAUUUUCUUGAAUAUAGUUGAGGUAGGCGGAAUGUGUAAUGUAGCGGUGAAAUGCUUAGAUAUUACACAGAACACCGAUUGCGAAGGCAGCUUACUAAGCUAUGAUUGACGCUGAGGUACGAAAGCGUGGGGAGCGAACAGGAUUAGAUACCCUGGUAGUCC
Molecule: ribosomal RNA, 229 nt
Filed under: uncultured bacterium
Lineage: Bacteria
Description: partial 16S ribosomal RNA
Rfam family: Bacterial small subunit ribosomal RNA
Source: RNAcentral